GAAAGAAGCAGCAAACAGCCCUCGGAGAAGGCACAAAGCUCUUCUGAGAAAUGUCUAGCAGAGACAGCUUCUUACAGUAACACUUUAUUUUAAUGGUCCUUUAAUGCAGAAAUUGACCAUGGUCGUCCCUCUUAGGCCUCAUUCACCCUAAAUAAAAAUGACCGUGUUGCCAGAGAUAGGUCCUAACGAGGUAUCAACCCCGGGGGUAGCCCAGGGGAGGCAGCGGGGCAAGAGAAAUGCCCUCUUUCUGCGGCGGCUGCAAUUCCUGCCUGUGACCUUGCACCCUCCCAUCCAGCUUUCCAUUUCCUUAUUUAGAUGAGCUUCCCUUAUACUUGGAGGGAAGGAUUCCUCUGCUGAGACUCCAUGGCAAUCAGCUUUCUGAGAAGUGGUUUGUUCUUCCAAGAAACCAAAGGGAGCCUGGUUGGUGUGCAUGCUGGCUUGUGGCUGAGCCGAGGGAGCCACGGAGGGCAGCUCACGACGGACCAGCAGGACACCGGGCUCCUGAGCCCUCGACAUCCACUCGUCACGAGCGGCAGGUUGAAGGCUGAACCACUGAACAAGAUAAUGAGAAUGUGUGAGGACCCUGGUUUGACAAUUGCCCUGUCUUGAGAAGUGUUGGAGAAGGGGGCUGCCGGGAGAGACACAGUGCCCUCAGCCCAGAUAUGGGUUUCUAAGAAGAAAGAGAAUUGUAAAGCUCUGAUCCUUUAAAACGCUGGAGAAAGCUCCUGGGAGGAAGUGAGACUUGUCUGAGGGCUGACAGAAGAACGAGUAUCAUUAAAUGCACUGGAAGAAGAAGAUCAUUCCAGGGACAAGACUUUACAGAAGUACCGAUGCGAGAAUGAGGGGUCCAAACUCUCUAGAAGACUCCAAUGAAUGGAGACAGGCCUCAGUCAAUUUUACACCAUGAGUGCAAAUUUAAGCUGGAUUAGUCUGGCCCUGCUAAGUACCUUGCUCAGGAACUGAAAUAUUAUAGCUGCAACAUGGCUAGCAGAGGAAAUGAAAUGGAAGCCUAUAAACCCUGAAGUGGAUAGCAGGAGCGCAAAUUCAGAGAACGAAGCAAAGUUUUAUUUUGGGGCUGUACCAUAAAGGUGACUUAGGUAGACCCAAGGGCCAGGGUUCUGUGUGCAUGUGUGCGGGCCCUUAGUGAUCAUUAACUUUGGAGGGGGA
Neofelis nebulosa (Clouded leopard) is the source of this 1167-nucleotide long non-coding RNA. RefSeq lists it as uncharacterized. The record is from RefSeq and is a predicted model, not a curated record. Lineage: Eukaryota; Metazoa; Chordata; Mammalia; Carnivora; Felidae. The transcript has 3 exons.